Molecule: long non-coding RNA, 1404 nt
Filed under: Sorghum bicolor (sorghum)
Lineage: Eukaryota; Viridiplantae; Streptophyta; Magnoliopsida; Poales; Poaceae
Description: long non-coding RNA (SBIC_LNC003721)
Source: RNAcentral
AGCCCCCUGCCAAAAUACGCGCCAAGCCCCAGCUGCUCGCCGUCGCGUACAACUCCACGCACACGCGCAUCGACCGGUUCUCUACAAAUUGAAGCCAUCGCAAGUCGCCGAGAUCCACCGGUUCUCUACAAAUUGAAGCCACCGCAAGUCGCCUAGAAGCAAGUCCGCGCCAGCAAGUCACCGGUUCCUGCUGCGACAUCGAAGACGCUCACGUCCAUAAUCCAACAACAUCUUCAAGUUCAAGCUCUGAAUCAUGUCGUCCACGCCGGUUGUCACGUUUCUAGGUGAGCAAUCAAUCUAGAAUAGAUUCAUAUGAAUUUUAUGCCAAGAGUUCCUUGUUCUUUCGAUCUACGAUCAUGAGAAGGCCAGCAACUUGAUGACAUCGGAACCCUCGCCGCGCGAGGUCGUUGUCAAGUUGUUGAUGAAGUCGAGCAAUGAAAAAUCAAGACGCAAUUUCAACUCGUCACGAUGGCGGCGGAGGGGUCGUUUUGGCUUACUCCGUUAUUACGACGGUGGCGGAGGGGUCGUUUUGGCCUACUCUGUUAUUACUACGAUGGCGGCAGAGGGGUCGUUUUAGCCUACUCUAUUAUUUCUACGGCGGUGGAGAGGUCGUUUUGGCCUACUCUAUUCUUCCCACGGCGACAGCGGAGAGUGCACGAUGAAAGUCGUUCUUUUGAUAUACUAUCAUGAGAAGGCCAGCAACUUGACGACGUCAGAACCCUCGCCGCGCGAGGUCGUCUGUCGAGUUGCUGAUGGCGAAGCCAAGCUCUAUAAGAAAAGGUUCAAGACACGCGAGACAAGAACGUCCCGCUCGUUGCAGGGCGCGAGACGGAAAUUUCCGAUCGUCACGAUGGUAAAAGAGGGGAUGCGCGAGAUGGAAAUUUCCACUCGUUGCAGUGCUCGAGACAAGAACGCCCGCUUUUUGUGAUGAUAACAGGCAAGACGCACGAGACGGAAACCCGCUCGUCGCAGCGCGUAAGACGGGAAACUCCCGCUUGUCGUAAUAAUGAAAAGUCAAGACACGAGAUGAGAACGCCUCGUUUCGUUAUAAAAUAUUGAUGUCGAGAGGCUGUCGAUUCCAUCACAUGAGCAACUAUUGUUCGAGCAUAUAUUAUGUCAUGAUGAGAGCUGCCAUCAAUAUAGUUCUACAAUUAUACAUAUAUCUUGGAGAUACAUACGCACAUAUGUACAUGCCGGCGUCCUAUUCUUUGAUCGGAGAAGAUGCCAUAUUUGAAUAGUUGGUCAUGCCUGCUAGUUGCUCCACGAGAUGCAUGCACUUAUGUAUACGUGAUUGUAUAACUUGCUGAAUUUCUACCCGAGGAUCCGCAAAUCGGCACCUGUAUGUGAAGCUAUACGCCUGGUAGAGAGCCAGUUUGCAUUCAACGAUGCAGGCUGCGUCUAUUG